Long non-coding RNA from Centruroides sculpturatus (bark scorpion), 1242 nucleotides. RefSeq lists it as uncharacterized. The transcript is spliced from 3 exons. NCBI's taxonomy places the organism in Eukaryota, Metazoa, Arthropoda, Arachnida, Scorpiones, Buthidae. The record is from RefSeq and is a predicted model, not a curated record.
UUUAAUUUCUAUUGAAAUUUAAAUCGUUCUCUCUCUUCCUAAUUUCUUUAAAAAUGACGUCCCUUUAAUCUGGAUUCUCACAAUUAUUUUCAGAAAUUUUAUACCCACAAAUUCUGAAAAAAUAUUUAGACAUUAUUAAAUUUUAAAUAUUAGAUGGCGCCACUUUUAUUUUUUAAAUUGGCAGUUAGGAUGAACGAAGUUCAACCAUAGACUAAUUACCUAGCAAAGCUAGGUAAUUAGUCUAUGGUUCAACAAUGCACUUGCUGGAUUUCGGUUAGAGAAAUGGCAAAGUAUGUUCUUAUUAUAAGUACUGAAUAGAUUCAAAAUUGUUUUCCGAUGAGCUAAAUUAUUUAUGGACAAAUCGAAGGAGACGUCUCAUUUCAGUGUUUAAAUUAAUUAAUUGGUGUUCGUUUUUAAGCCAUUGUCUUGGGAUUGGUUCUUACCACGUCACUACCAAAAAGAAGAGGAAAUAAAUAGGUGUAAUGCACGAAUCUUCGCUCGUUACUAGUGACGUAUUUCUGUUUUGGUUACAGAAAAAAAAUCGACAGAAGUCUUAUUUUACUCUGUUGAUAACUCACGAUUGUUUGCGUCCGAGAAGACAGAGAGGGUGAAGAUUGUGUUGUCCUUUCAGCCGUAAGACAAAAAUGCAUGCAAGCAUUUGGAAUUCUCGUCCACACAGGCAGUCUUGAUUAAAGGAGAAAACCUCGUUGACGAUUUCACCAGAAAGAAAAAAAAACAGAAGAAAGAUUUUAACGAAGAGGAAGAGAAGACUUCUCAAGUAACAUUUGAUGAUGUAUGGAAUUCUUCUCGUUCUCGUGGACUGUGAUUCACUACCCGCCAAUCAAAAACAUUCCUGUUUACUACUAAAUGAAGAAUAGUUUCCAGGAAAGCACAAGAAUAGUCGAUGGAUGUGUUGGACUUCUGUCGUUAACGGAACACUAAAAUUGAAGCCAGUGUUGUGAAAUCAUUACAAGAAUAUAUCAACAAGGAAAACAUCGUUCAUGCGAGUGAAGAAGAGAAAAAUCAUUGAAGAUAUUUAAAAAAUUUUUUUUCAAAUAUAUAUUUUUGUUUUUACAAAAUACACUCUAUAUAAAUUGUGUUCAAGAAAAAUGUAUAAAUUACAUUUGUUAUUAAUUUGUGAUAUUGUUUUAGUGUGUGGGUAAUAUUUGUGAAUAGUUAGUAUUUCUAGUGUAAUGUUUUCCUUUGAAUAAAAUUUAAAGGUUUAACCUAUACAAAGAAAAU